AUACGGAGGGGGCUAGCGUUGUCCGGAAUUAUUGGGCGUAAAGGGCGCGUAGGCGGAAUAGUAAGUCAGAAGUGAAAAUCAUGGGCUUAACCCAUGACCUGCUUUUGAUACUGCUAUUCUCGAGUGCGAGAGAGGAAAGCGGAAUUCCCGGUGUAGCGGUGAAAUGCGUAGAUAUCGGGAAGAACACCGGUGGCGAAGGCGGCCAUCUGGACCGGAACUGACGCUGAGGCGCGAAAGCGUGGGGAGCAAACAGGAUUAGAUACCCCAGUAGUCC
RNAcentral lists this ribosomal RNA (274 nucleotides) under uncultured bacterium. RNAcentral describes it as "partial 16S ribosomal RNA". It matches the Rfam family "Bacterial small subunit ribosomal RNA", at positions 523 to 796 of the family's 1533-position model. The record is from RNAcentral.